GACGAACGCUGGCGGCGUGCUUAACACAUGCAAGUCGAACGGAAAGGCCCUGCUUGCAGGGUACUCGAGUGGCGAACGGGUGAGUAACACGUGGGUGAUCUGCCCUGCACUUCGGGAUAAGCCUGGGAAACUGGGUCUAAUACCGGAUAGGAGCCAUUUUUAGUGUGAUGGUUGGAAAGUUUUUUCGGUGUAGGAUGAGCUCGCGGCCUAUCAGCUUGUUGGUGGGGUAAUGGCCUACCAAGGCGGCGACGGGUAGCCGGCCUGAGAGGGUGGACGGCCACAUUGGGACUGAGAGACGGCCCAGACUCCGACGGGAGGCAGCAGUGGGGAAUAUUGCACAAUGGGCGCAAGCCUGAUGCAGCGACGCCGCGUGGGGGAUGACGGCCUUCGGGUUGUAAACUCCUUUCGCUUGGGACGAAGCUUUUUGUGACGGUACCUAGAUAAGAAGCACCGGCUAACUACGUG
Molecule: ribosomal RNA, 465 nt
Filed under: uncultured bacterium
Lineage: Bacteria
Description: partial 16S ribosomal RNA
Rfam family: Bacterial small subunit ribosomal RNA
Source: RNAcentral